Otolemur garnettii (small-eared galago) is the source of this 306-nucleotide non-coding RNA. The record is from Rfam. Lineage: Eukaryota; Metazoa; Chordata; Mammalia; Primates; Galagidae.
ACAGGGUGUGGUGUCAGGCGCCUGUAGACCCAGCUAGGCAGGAGGCUGAGGCAGAAGGAUCACUUGAGCCCAGGAGUUCUGGGCUGUGGUGCGCUAUGCUGAUGGAGCGUCUGCAUUAAGUUUGGCAUCAAUGCGAUGACCUCCCAGGAGGGGGAGGGCAGGGCACCAGGUUGCCUAAGGAGGGUUGAACCGGUCCAGGUCGGAAAUUGGAGCAGGUCAAAACUCCCGUGCUGAUCGGUAGUGGGAUUGCAUCUGUGAACAGCCACUGCACUCCCUCCUGGGCAACAGAGUGAGACCCUGUCUCUA